AGCAGGGUGGAAACAGGCAGAAAACGAGAAAUGUAGAAUUCCUGUGAUUCUAUCAAAUAUUUCUUUACCACUAUUUCCAUUGUUACUAGAAACGCGAUGAUAGAGACAACAGUCACGACAGGGAAAUCGGGCAAAACACUGCCAAACAAAUUUUUAGGUACUUUAUUGACUUUGAUUGGCAGCAAUAAAAAUAGUGUUAAUGGUUCGCACGCAAAUAUUCCUAAUUUUAAAAACUGCACUAAUUUUGCGAGAUAUAAACAGAACCAAAAAUAUUGUGAUUGUUCUAUCAGGAGAGUAAAUUUAAUCGUACAGUACGGUGGCGCGCGAUCGCCAAUCGUGUCAGUUCUACUUGCUUCACCUGAUGUUAGCUUCUUUAGAGACAUUUCCUAAAAACGCUGUAACUGCUAAAACGCUGUGAGUUGCUAAUAAAGGGUGCCUUUUUAUUUUUAACGGCAUUUUCGGGUUUAAAUUCCGAAUGAAAAUAUAAACGAAUGAAUAGCGACCGGAAGGAACAAACACUUGUCGAUUUCAGUCACGCUAUAUGUCGAAAAUACCCAAUAUUCACGGCCUCCGUAC
Non-coding RNA from Paramuricea clavata, 576 nucleotides. NCBI's taxonomy places the organism in Eukaryota, Metazoa, Cnidaria, Anthozoa, Malacalcyonacea, Plexauridae. The record is from the annotation of a GenBank genome assembly.